AAGCCCAAGAUGCCUAGCCGGUUUGAGAGAACGAUCGGCCACACUGGGACUGAGACACGGCCCAGACGCUUACGAGCGGCAGCAGUGGGGAAUAUUGGACAAUGGGCGCAAGCCUGAUCCAGUGAUAUCGCUUUAGGGAUGAAGGCGACAUACGUUGUAAACCUAAUGAAUUAUAUAUAGAUUAUGACCGUUUAUAAUUUAGAAGUCCCGGCU
RNAcentral lists this ribosomal RNA (213 nucleotides) under uncultured bacterium. RNAcentral describes it as "partial 16S ribosomal RNA". It matches the Rfam family "Bacterial small subunit ribosomal RNA", at positions 270 to 498 of the family's 1533-position model. The record is from RNAcentral.